GAUUAAGAACGCAGCGAAAUGCGAUAAGUAAUGUGAAUUGCAGAAUUCAGUGAAUCAUCGAAUCUUUGAACGCACAUUGCGCCCGGUAGUAUUCUGCCGGGCAUGCCUGUUCGAGCGUCAUUUCAACCAUCAAGCCCCAGCGCUUGUGUUGGGGGCCUGCGGCUGCCGCAGCCCCCCAAAAGCAGUGGCGGGCUCGCUAUCACACCGAGUGCAGUAGUUCAUCUUCUCUCCGGUCUUGUGAGGCGGGUUCCGGCCGUGAAACACCCCACUACAUUCAAGGUUGACCUCGGAUCAGGUAGGAAUACCCGCUGAACUUAAGCAUAUCAAUAAGCGGAGGA
Molecule: unclassified non-coding RNA, 338 nt
Filed under: soil metagenome
Description: partial contains 5.8S ribosomal RNA, internal transcribed spacer 2, and large subunit ribosomal RNA
Rfam family: 5.8S ribosomal RNA (bases 1-120)
Source: RNAcentral